This 546-nucleotide long non-coding RNA is filed under the name Crocodylus porosus (Australian saltwater crocodile). RNAcentral's name for it is "lncRNA (ENSCPRG00005009223.1)". Lineage: Eukaryota; Metazoa; Chordata; Crocodylia; Crocodylidae. The record is from RNAcentral.
CUCUCAUCAGCCAUUUAAUUGACAAACUUCAGCAUUUUAACCAGCUGGAUACUGAGAAGACAAAAUUGAAGUCAGAGAGAUGGGCUUCCAGAGAAGCUGGCAGUGGGGAUGGAAAAAGUGAGGAGGUGGAAUCAAGUGGGGACUGUGAUGAUGAGGAUGGCUGUCAAGGAUCUGGUGAUAGGAUUCACAUAACAGAUAUACUCAAAGAAAAGAAGACCUAUCCAGAUGAUAGGAGUGAACCAAAACCAACUGUGAAAAAGAUUGACACCACAACCACCACAACCACUGUAAAGUCAUCUUCUAAACACGAUGCUGGGAACGUGGGCAGUCAAGCCACAAGUCCCUCCCUUUCCAUUAUAGCAGCACUAGCAAUUUUGUGGCAUUAUCUUUCGUAGCAGCAUUAUAUGGCAGCAACUGUGCAAACAUUUUUGUUCACUGUCAUUUAUACCUACAGCCUUACCCAACAGAAAACAAAGUUAAAAGGCUCUCUAGUAUUAUAUGGUAUGCUAGAAUAAAUCCUAAAAAAAAUAGGCUGGGAUCGGCUGA